GGAUGAGGGAAUAUGAGUAUAGAACAUUGUGUAUAGCAUGUUUGUUAGUUCUCCUGAAUUCCACCUCCUCUUUUUCCUUCUUUCUUUUCCUUCUUUUUUUCCUCUUUCUUUCUUCCUUCCUUCCUUCCUUUCUUUCUUUCUUUCUUUCUUUCUUUCUUUCUUUCUUUCUUUCUUUCUUUCUUUCUUUCUUUCUUUCUUUCUUUCUUUCUUUCUUUCUUUCUUUCUUUCUUUCUUUCUUUCUUUCUUUCUUUCUUUCUUUCUUUCUUUCUUUCUUUCUUUCAUACAUCACUGAUAAUUUCAUUGCUUUUUCUGUCUUUCUUUCUUUCUUUCUUUCUUUCUUUCUUUCUUUCUUUCUUUCUUUCUUUCUUUCUUUCUUUCUUUCUUUCUUUCUUUCUUUCUUUCUUUCUUUCUUUCUUUCUUUCUUUCUUUCUUUCUUUCUUUCUUUCUUUCUUUCUUUCUUUCUUUCUUUCUUUCUUCCUUCCUUCCUUCCUUCCUUCCUUCCUUCCUUCCUUCCUUCCUUCCUUCCUUCCUUCCUUCCUUCCUUCCUUCUUUCUGAAUUGCUCUGUACCAGUGGAAGUAGUAGCCACCCUAAUGAAAUCAUAGCUCUAUUAAAGUACAGCACUAAG
RNAcentral lists this long non-coding RNA (626 nucleotides) under Monodelphis domestica (gray short-tailed opossum). Its description in RNAcentral is "lncRNA (ENSMODG00000029060.2)". The record is from RNAcentral. Lineage: Eukaryota; Metazoa; Chordata; Mammalia; Didelphimorphia; Didelphidae.